UGCACUGAAAGUAAAGGGGCUGAAUAAUUUUGCACGCCCAAUUUUUCAGUUUUUGAUUUGUUAAAAAAGAGAAGCCUGGGCCCUGGAGUUGGAGAGGGCUCUCUCAAAGCAGACUCACAGAAUCCUCCACCAGGUGCAGACAUUUGAAGAACUCCUGAGGAGAGGGAAACUCAAACCGUUUGAGCAGAUGAAGGUAUUGUUCUGAUAUUUAUCUCCCUUGAGUCUUGCAAAUAGAGGAGCAUCUUCCAGUGCUAAAUAGCCACCAUUUUGUAUUAGUAAUGAUGUGAUGUAUCCCUUAGCUUCUCUGCCCCUAGCUUCUCCAGGGGCCGGAUUCUCUGGAAAGAGGUUAUCUAGCAGCACGAGAUGAACACAGAGUCCAACUGCAGAGAGUGGCUGAGCCCCUCUGACCCAGGGAGUUGGAGGGACGUAUAUCCAGUGUGGGAUGCGCUUGGAGGAGCUCAAAGAGCAGGUGGAGCAGACUGAACAGGACCGACCCACCUCAGAGGCCCCUCCCACUCUAACGCCUUACCCCACCCCCUACUCCAUGCCAGAAGGGGGCAGAGAGCACAUGCCACUCCCUGAGCUCUCUCUCCAGAGCCCAGUGUUACCUCUGCCUGGGGAGUCUCGGGGGGGGUGAUGAGGGUGGAGAUUAGCUCGGCUAGCGGAGAGAGCGAGGGAGUGAGGGGAGGGAUGGGAGAGGAGGAGGCACUGCCGUCCCUUCUCCUCCAUCCUUUAGGUCACAAACACAAACGUGUAGAGAGAGACUUCAGCUUGCUGAUGUACCACUACCAGAGUUUCAGGGAGGUGCCACGACUGCUAGACCUGGAUCUAACAGAGGGAGACCAUGACUUUCCUGAUGCAGGAGAAGAAGCCACACAUGCAGGCGGUGAGCGGACAAGAGAGGGACCACACCCAGGGACCAGGAGGGAGGAGGGCCACACAAGUCUCCCUCGGAGAUAGCCAAUGCUAGGUGAGAAGGACGCUACAUUCAUUCCAAUGGCAAGACCAAGGACCAGCAAAUCAGUUCUUUGUUCCCCUAAAGACCUCAGCCAAUCCCCUGCAUUUCAUGGCUCGUCUGCCAGUGACAGCAAGAAGUCAGAGUUCAGGAAGUCUCGAGGCAGCAGUCUCACCAGUCUGGGGGAAAGUACUGCGUCAGAGAGGAGGGGCUCCAAACUGCAGCCUGGGACCAGGAGAGUGUAAUCUCAGGUCAAUUACCUGAGAGACUGGAUCAAGCUUCCAUUACAUUUUUGACUGCUUAUUCACCUACCUGGUGUCUGCUGUGAAAGAAAAAAUGUCAUUACUUUUUGCACACUAUCCACCCAUUUCCUGUUCAUGACUGAAAACACAAUGUAAUUGCAUCUAACUUGUUUCCAAAACAUGUUCAACCAACAAAUAAAUAUCUGACACUCGUAUCCAUAGCUAGGUGGGACAACCACAUAUCAUAGGCAUAGUAAGUACAUUUUUCAGUAAAGUAGCUAUCAGUAAAGUCAGAGCUAGUAAGUGAGGAAAAAGUGUCUAGGUCUAUGCAUGUGAAAAAUAAUGUUGAAUAAUAAGAAUGUUGUUCAUUUAUCUUGACAAUUCAGCAAUAUCUUCUAAACCAGCAGUAAAUUGUCUCUCAAACCCUCUGUGUGAUAGGAUAGGAUAGGAUCAUCUCACCCGAGAUGUGGGCUCUGAGAGCGGUCACCUGACUCCUGCAGCACCCAGUCUCUUCCACCAGAUGGCCACAGCGAGCGAAUGACGGGGAUUUGGGCCUUGUCCGGUGUCUGAAGUAAAUCCUUCGCGUCCGACUCUGUAAAGAAAAAAACGUUGUCUAGUAUGAGUCUGUGUAGCCUGUCAGUUCCAGAGGAGCAGAACUCAGGGAAGCCCCAACACACACCCCCUCUCCCCUCCUCCUCCCCCUCACAAAGACCUCAGAGACCCCCCUCGCUGGAGCACAGUGGAGGCUCUCCUCUCAGCACCACAAGUCCACACUGUGUCAGGGGGACAGAGUGACCGUUCCACCUGAACACCCUAUCCCCAGCACUGCUACCAGCCAAGCCACUCCACCACUGCACCCUAUCACCAUGGCGAUCCCCCUCGGGCCCUGAGCUCUGGUCAGUUGACUAAUCGCAAUGAAGCCAUCCAGUCUCUAAAAGUGGAAGUGAGCAGACUGAAAGUGUGACUAGAGGGCAGUCUGAGACAGACCAACCCCCUCAGCCCAGAACGACCACACACAUCCUCUCAGCUCAACACAUUGCAUUAGACCGAAGGACGGAGAGAGAGACAGAGGCACCCGGCCACAUCCCCACAGAGAUGUGAGAGGCAUGUCCUUUGUAGCGCCGCCCCCUCCAUGCUGGGCAGUGUGCCGCUGUGCCAGUGUGCCCACCAGUUCUGUACUACUCCAGCCCAGUGAUAAAGGCAGCUCAAUCCCACCCCCAGUUCAUCUAUGUGUCUCUGAGUGGGGGUGUGGCCUCUGGGUUCAGGGGUCAAAGGUGGAGUGCCAAUAUUGCAAUAUCAAGUAUCAUAUAGAAACAACACAAAUUCAUCUCUUACUCAUGAAAUGCACUAGAAUCUGAAUAAUUUAUAUAUGAAUGAUUUACGUUUCAAAAUAACGGACAUAUGCUCAUUGUUUGUUUAAUUUGCUUUGAAACCUGGAAUAUUCUUUUUACAUUUGUUUUGUUACAUUUGAACAAUGACUGGUAUGGAUCUUCAGGUGAGGAGAUUAACUAUUCACACAUUGAUUUCUUCCAUUUGUUUACCCUAAUUGAUUGAUUCUAAAUGAUUUGUUUUGUAUUUUGUUCUUGAUCAUUUGUGUAUUGUGUGAAAUAUUUAGUUAAUAAGGUUAAUAAUUGGUGUCAGUGUUACUGUAGUGUAAACUUGUACACAUCAGGAAAAUAUUUUAUCCGAAGAUUGAACACAAAAAUGGGAUUUCAGAAAUGCAGAUUUGGAAAUCUAGAUUCUGGUAUCUGUUGUACCUUUGUACUGUGAUUGAUUAUCAAAUGAUUUUUGUUCAAAUAUUUUGUAGUAAAACAUUUGUAUUUCCGAUUUGAAGCCAAAUAAAUGUUGAUGUUAAGACAGAACACUUUAUAGCGUCACAU
This is a non-coding RNA of Oncorhynchus mykiss (rainbow trout), 3077 nucleotides long. The record is from RefSeq and is a predicted model, not a curated record. Lineage: Eukaryota; Metazoa; Chordata; Actinopteri; Salmoniformes; Salmonidae.